CCCUCUCGGCUGCUGCCCCCUCUGAGAGCCAUUCCACGCGUGGUGAGCAGCCAGGCCUUAGGACUAGAAUUUGUAAUCGACUGUGACACGAUGGCGAAGGUUCCCCAGCCUUGAAGACUACGUGUUUUCUCAGGUUAAUUCCCCAGGUUGGACGCCCACUUCCGUCUUAAAGGGAAGUGAUUUUUCUUCAGGUUUCAGGGUAUUUCGCUUUAGGUUUGGCUCUGGCGAUUUUCAUGCUACGCUUUACCACAGUGUGGAGGUUUGUCGGCUGGUCGGCCUGGUUUCUUUAUUCGACCUCUGUGUCCUGGUGGUUUGAUUGGUAGUCUCUUAGGAUGUAUUUGUAGGUAACAGUUGGAACUUUUCCCAGGAGCCCAGCACCUCGCCGGAUAGCACACCUAAGGGCGCUCACUAAAAGGUGGCAUCUUGUGUUUCGCCAGCUUUCUGGUAGACAGCUUUUUAAAAGUUACACUGUCAUUCCCUCCCUCGUCUGCGAGCCGUUCUUUAUUAUUCUUUUACAUCAGAAAUGACUAAGGUGUUCCAGAUAUUUUCAUUAUCGGUCUUGGAGGUGACCCUAUCUCUUCUCCGCUGUUUAAAAUAGUAGGUUUUCCAGUGGUGAGUCCUCAAGUGCAGUAAAUGAAUAUGAGUCAUAGCACCAUGCUGAUAAAGUUCCGAGAAAUGCAGAGGCGAAAGCAGGUGAUACAGAAAUGGCAACAGAUGAAGCAGGGGAGUGUGGGAUACAUGGGCCAGCUCUGAGCCUAUCACCACCAUAUGCCUACGAGCCCCCAACAACAUCCAGAUCAGGCCCGGCCUCUACACCUACAAGGACAGCACACUGCUAAUCCUUCCUCCGGUCAGGUGUGUUCUCCACAGCCGGUCUUUCAUGCACAGUCCUAGUCUCCACUCAGCCUGUCCCUGAAGAUGUGGACUCAGAUAUUCACACCAUAUUGUUCUUCACAUCCUGGACAGAUAGUGGCCCAGACUGCCAACCCCAUGGAACAGGCAUUUUUCCAGCCCAGCCCAGAAUUCCAUGCUUUCUCGGCUUGCUAGCAACAACAGGCAUGGCAGACCUCCAGAGUAUAAGUGUUUGGAACCGAGAGUACCAAUACGGCAGAUGAACUCAGGCCUCUCAUGGAGUUCUACACACACAUUCCAGAAAGACAGUUUUGGAAGCAAAGCAUUUCUUCCUCUUAAGACUUUAUAAACAGUUCUCAAAUAUGUCCUAGCCUCAAAGACAACUUUCCAUGGAACAUGGAAUGACUGCAGUAGCUAUUUGUGGGUUAAAGCAAGCAUGCGGGUCAAACCUGCGAGAUAGUAAACUACAAAGAAUGUGUUUUUGUUAUGGCUGGUUAUCCUCAGCAUUUUUUCCUCCUUGUGUGUGAUUCAAGUGUGUACUGGAAGGCUCCUGAAGUAUUAAGCCAAGCAUGUACCCCCUACCCAGAAUGGCCAAUAGGUGUUUAUUAUUUCAAAUUAAUAAAAAUACGUAUUAUUAAUAACCAUUCUUUACUGGUGCUUUUGCUGCUUUCAUCAUUUAUGAAAGGGUUUAAAAAUCUAAAGCCAGAGGAGAAUUUAAUGUUUUGUAAAAUUACAUUAUAUAUGUGUAUAUAUAUAUAUAUAUUAGAGGAUCUUUUAUGUGUUGAAACAAUUUUAUCAAAUGGCCACAAUUUAUUAAUUUACUAUUUAUCAACAUGAUACUCCAUAAACAACCUUCCAUUAUAGAAUUACAGAACACUAUAUGACUGAGCAUAAAUAAAUCAUAAUUUUUCUGAUUGACGUGUGGAUAUAUGAGAUUUGAUGAGACCCUCACUUUCAGAAACAAAAUGCAAGGAGUCAUAUGUUGGGAAAAAUUUGGGUCAUUUCAGCAUGGACUAAGUAUUAUAUAAUAUGAAAGUUUGUGUAGAUUUUUAUUAGCAGAACAGCUGUGUAUUUGUGUUUUAAGACAGGGUUUCUCUGUGUAGCCCUGGCUAUCUUGGGACUCAUUCUGUAAACUAAACUGACCUCAAACUCAGAGAUCUUCAUGCCUCUGCCUCCCAAACUUUGGGGCUAAAGAUGUAUGCCACCCUGUGUAUCCCCAACUUCUGGGAUGUUCUCUUUUGCAGAGCACACUGAAGUAUUCAGGCAUGAAGAAUCAUAUCUGAGAUUCAUAUUAAAGUAUCUGUCAAAAUUUUGGGUUGAGAUAGUAAAACAUGAAAUAAAAAUAAAAUUAAUAUUACUAAGAAUAAGUAUUAAGGCUCCCUUUACUUCCUAGAACUUGAAAGUUUUUAUACCAAGUAAGAAACACCAGAAAUAAAAUGCUGCUCCAGCCGCAGCUCAGCAGGUGGGAGCUUCCCCUCCAGCCAAUGCCAGCCCCUCAUCAGACACCUCUGUUUGUUACCCCUUACAGGGCCUGGGACCCUCACAGGCUUUAGUUAGCAUCACAGUUAAGGUGGGACAAAGCAGAACAGUACUGAGGAAGUCGGCAGGGACAGCAGUAGCAGCUGCCUGUCACGCAAGAGCAAGCUCACUACCUCAGGUUUUCCUUUUGUUGGAGGAGAACAGAGAGACCUGGGAGAAGAAAUCAGUUGUCCUCCUCUGAGGAUCCUCGGAACCUCCCCCUAGGCAAAUCAAGGGCCUCAGGCAGGAGGCAUGGCAAGCUCCGGUUCACUCAACAUUUCCUCCCAACUGUGGACCUGUUUGUUUCAAAGCCUUUCCCAUUCGUUCUUGGUGUCACAUCCAAAGCAUCCACAAACCCACUGAAUCAAAGUGAACCCCCAUCACAACACAGGUCACUUCGUGUGGAGGUUCUGCCCUGACCUGCAGAGCAGGAGUUGCCACACCAGCUGUUUUUGCCAUCACAGGUGGAAUUUCCCUCCAGAGUUGGGAGUUCUGGUUUUGGCCUGAUAAGAGAGACCUGUGCUGAGAAAUGGAAACCUAUGCCAUUGGCAGUCAGCGUGAAGUGAUCUAAGUCAUCAGUCACAUCUAGGGGUUGGGCUUAUGGCUUUUGCCUUUAUAAGCCUACUGCUUUGCAAUAAAAUUGAACCUUGAUC
This 3023-nucleotide long non-coding RNA is filed under the name Mus pahari (shrew mouse). Its description in RNAcentral is "lncRNA (MGP_PahariEiJ_G0003722.1)". Lineage: Eukaryota; Metazoa; Chordata; Mammalia; Rodentia; Muridae. The record is from RNAcentral.